Non-coding RNA from Phrynosoma platyrhinos (Desert horned lizard), 69 nucleotides. The record is from the annotation of a GenBank genome assembly. Lineage: Eukaryota; Metazoa; Chordata; Lepidosauria; Squamata; Phrynosomatidae.
GCCAGUUUGGUGUAGUGGUUUGAGCACUGGACUAUGAUUCUGACCAGGGUUCGAUUCUCAGCUCAGCCA